Long non-coding RNA from Limulus polyphemus (Atlantic horseshoe crab), 282 nucleotides. RefSeq lists it as uncharacterized. The record is from RefSeq and is a predicted model, not a curated record. Lineage: Eukaryota; Metazoa; Arthropoda; Merostomata; Xiphosura; Limulidae. The transcript is spliced from 2 exons.
AUAAAACCACCUAGUGAGCACAGGAUUGCUCGAUAUUUUUAAUAUGGACUGUAACGAGUGGGAAAAUAGAGCCGAGCUACAAAUACCUAUACAUUCUACUGGGGUUGUUGCUUUUGAAGCCUUUAUCUAGGUAAUUGGAGGUAUAAACAGUAAAGAAUGGGGGCCAGUUUCAAAAACUGAACUCUUCAUGUUGGACGACGAAAGCAUCAGAAAACCGAAAGAAAUCCCUGUUCCUUUAACUGGCGUAUCAGUAAUUGUCAUACCUCCAGUAGAAGAUGUUUU